UUAAUUAAAGCCAAAAAGAGGCUUAUCAUUGUUAAUGAUAUAAUUGAUAAAAAUAUCUAAUUAAA
RNAcentral lists this transfer RNA (65 nucleotides) under Polypsocus corruptus. RNAcentral describes it as "tRNA-Asn". Lineage: Eukaryota; Metazoa; Arthropoda; Insecta; Psocodea; Amphipsocidae. The record is from RNAcentral.